RNAcentral lists this small RNA (1724 nucleotides) under Pongo abelii (Sumatran orangutan). Its description in RNAcentral is "retained intron". The record is from RNAcentral. Lineage: Eukaryota; Metazoa; Chordata; Mammalia; Primates; Hominidae.
UAAGGGCUUAGGGGGCUGUGACAUCUUUUCUAGAGAGCCUAGCCAAUAAGGGAACUGCUUGUUGACCUGAGUCGGGUUAGACAUUGCCCUCUCUGGAGGCAGGGGAUGGAUUUGAUGACUUCUAGAAAUGGUUGCCUGAGAUAUUGGCUCUGGGGACCCAGGAGUCCUUGUUGCUUGUGUGCAAUUUGGUUGUUUUGAAAGCCCAUGUCUGUGCCUCUCUCUCCUCUUACCCCCUCUGUGUCUCUACCGUACUCUCUGCCCGGGGUCCCCCACGCCAGUCGAGUCGCUUCCCGCCGAGCCCCUCCCAACCGACGACCCAGCAGGUAGAACGUUGGUCAUAGAGGGCAUUGCUUUGGCCAGGCAGUCCCUGCCCUGGCAUCAGCAUGAUGUGUCCUGCCCAGGUCCCCACUGCCUGCAGGCAGGGUCCCAGGCUGAGCUGGGAUGGGGUGUCUGCUGGCCUCACCCCUCCAGCUGGCCUCUCUUCUACCCUCAGCUGUGCUCUACCAUGUCUCCCCUGCCUUCUUUCUUGCGUUUGUUGCUUUUGCUUCUGCAUUGCAGGGGGGUCUGCAGGGGUCUGCACUGGCAUUCUGGGUGCUCAUGGGGUUUCCGCCAUCUCUUCCUUCUCCCUUCUCCAGCAGGCAGGGUGGGUGCAUGUAUCCUGCCUAGACCUACUUAGGCCUUGGUUGUGAGCUGGAGCCAACUGGCUGUCAUGCUGCCCCGGCACUACUUGGGUAGGUUUGGUGUCCUAUGUGGACUCAGGGUGCGAAAGAGCACUGAAGCCCGACUGUGCAUCUGUGGCCGGUUGUGCAGGCGACUGAAGCAUUGGCAGAGCAGCCAGGCCUGGAGCUGCAGGGGCCUUAGGGAAGCUGCGGGGAGAGGGGGCUGCUCUGUGUUAACCUCUCCCUGCUUACCCCUCCCUGUGUGUGUUGUGCUGCCAGUGGCCUGCUCCUUAGCUGGGUGGGGAGCCCACUGUGACUCCCAUCUGUCUCUCCUUCAGGACAACAGGUGAUUGAAGAGCAACGGCGGCGACUGGCUGAGCUGAAGCAGAAAGCGGCAGCUGAGGCACAGUGCCAGUGGGAUGCCCUUCACGGGGCAGCCCCCUUCCCAGCGGGCCCCUCGGGCUUCCCCCCUCUCAUGCACCACUCUAUCCUACACCACCUGCCUGUGGGGCGGGAGCGUGGGGAGGAGAGUGAGCAUGCCUACGACACGCUAAGUCUGGAGAGCUCUGACAGCAUGGAGACCAGCAUCUCCACCGGGGGCAACUCGGCCUGCUCCCCUGACAACAUGUCCAGUGCGAGUGGUCUGGACAUGGGGAAGAUCGAGGAGAUGGAGAAGAUGCUGAAAGAGGCUCACGCAGAGAAGAACCGGCUCAUGGAGUCGAGGGAGCGGGAGAUGGAGCUGCGGCGGCAGGCCCUGGAGGAGGAGCGGCGGAGGCGUGAGCAGGUAGAACGGAGGCUGCAGAGUGAGAGUGCCCGGAGGCAGCAGCUGGUCGAGAAGGAGGUCAAGAUGCGGGAGAAACAGUUUUCCCAGGCACGACCCCUGACCCGCUACCUGCCAAUCCGGAAGGAGGACUUUGACCUGAAGACACAUAUUGAGUCAUCAGGCCAUGGUGUUGAUACCUGCCUGCACGUGGUGCUCAGCAGCAAGGUCUGCCGUGGCUACUUGGUCAAGAUGGGCGGCAAGAUUAAAUCAUGGAAGAAGCGCUGGUUUGUCUUCGACCGGCU